UGAGUAUUCCAGAUUGCAUAGCUUUGUGCUACUAUUGCUAUACGGUCUGGGACACUUUUA
RNAcentral lists this microRNA precursor (60 nucleotides) under Drosophila melanogaster (fruit fly). Its description in RNAcentral is "Dme-Mir-960_pre stem-loop". The record is from RNAcentral. Lineage: Eukaryota; Metazoa; Arthropoda; Insecta; Diptera; Drosophilidae.